Cornus florida is the source of this 1823-nucleotide RNA transcript. It is a transcript of the gene named WRKY transcription factor 23-like, with no coding region annotated. The transcript is spliced from 5 exons. Lineage: Eukaryota; Viridiplantae; Streptophyta; Magnoliopsida; Cornales; Cornaceae. The record is from RefSeq and is a predicted model, not a curated record.
UAUUUACUUCUUUCUAUCUUUUAUCUGCGUUCAUACUGGCCUCCCUCCUCACCUUACAAACCCAACAAGCAAACCAUCUUUUUUCUCUCUCAAAGGGCACAGCUCUCCGUCUCUUUAUCUACCGGUACCACUCUCUCUCUCUCUCUCUCUCUCUCUGAGUCUCACACAGACACGCUAAUCUCUUAUUCUAAGAGACACAUAGCUAGGGAGAGUUUAUAAAUUAAUCGAGAUCUGUCACAAACACACACACAUAUAUAUAUAUAUAUAUUGGUGAUGAAUGAUGGAAUCAAUGGAGAGGAAAGAAGCAAUAAAGAUAGAAGAAUCGAUGAGAUCGUUCUGUGAUCAUCUUGCUGUGAGUAACCCAGUAACAGGUAUGAUGGGCUUGUGUGUUGAAGAAAUAGGUGGUGAUGGUGAUGAUGACGAUGAUGAGAAGAGCUCAUUAGGGUUUAUGGAGUUACUGGGUUUUCAAGACCAGAUCACUAGUAAUAGUACUAGUAGUCCACCUUCCAUCUUUGAUGUAUUACAAUUACUACCAUCUUCUACUACUACUACUUCUACUUCAAUACUAGUUCAUCCGGAAUCAUCAUCAUCAUUUAUCCACCACCGCCACCACCGCCCCACCACACCCAACUCUUCUUCCAAUAUUUCAUCUCAAUCCCAAUCCCAAUCCCAAUCAAGUGCCGGUACUAGUACUACUACUCCACCAAAUGAUACACUAAUUCAACAAACCAAGCCCACCCUAGAUGAAGAUGAAGAUGAUGAUGAAGAUGAAGAUCAACAUCACCAAAACAACAAAAAACUGUUGAAAGCAAAGAAAACGAAGCAGAAGAGGCAGAGGGAGCCAAGAUUUGCAUUCAUGACCAAGAGUGAGGUUGAUCAUUUGGAGGAUGGAUACAGAUGGAGGAAAUACGGCCAAAAAGCUGUCAAAAACAGCACUUUUCCUAGGAGCUACUAUCGUUGCACUAAUGGUGCGUGCAAUGUGAAGAAAAGAGUGGAGCGGUGUUUCAAUGAUCCAAGCAUAGUUGUGACCACCUACGAAGGCAAACACACCCAUCCAAGCCCACUACUAGUCAUGUCUCGCCCACCGGCUUCCAACUUCUCCUCCACCACUUAUGCUAUGCCCAGCGCCGCCUUAUCUCAUCAAUCCUUCAAUUCUGGCUAUUUGACUUCCUCUAUUAAUAAUAAUAAUAAUCCUCCUCCUCCUCCUCCUCCUCCUCCUAGUAAUAUUUCUGUCCACCAGAGGCGUUUUUGUGCUCCAUCUUCUUCUGCUUUGCUCAGAGACCAAGCCCUUCUUCAGGACAUUUUCCCAUCCCUACCACCACCACCUGCACCAGCUUGUGAUCAGAAAGCAGGAAGAGUUGUUGAAAACCCUCACCAAUACCUUUGAAUGUCCAGUUAUAAAGCAAUGUUGGACACUUCCAUCCACAAAUUUAAACAUCCGUGUACUUGUAAGGAGAUGGAUUGUGAAAAGUGUACUCAAAGAGAAGGGGCACUGUGCAGGUCUAUGUGAAGCAAUAUGGGAUGUAGAAUGGAACCUCGUCUCACAGCUUUGUGAAAAUUCCAAUUACCACCAUCUGAGAAGUGGAAGACUCUGUCAAAAUCUAUGGCAGUGAUAGCCCAAUCUCUGUCAAAAGAUCAGAAGGGUUUUGAGAGUAAUUUAGUGCGACUUGUAUUCACAAGAUGAUGGUUCGAGAUGCUGCCACACACAUGGCCAGUUGUUUCUAAUAUGUAUUUUAUUAUUGUUGUUUUCCCUUGGAUUUAUUUAUCUUAAGUCAGUGAUCCAAUUUGUAUGAGUAGUUCUUUGUAUAUUAGUUGUUUAUUUA